GAAAACAGAGAGAAAGAGUGAUGGUUAAUAAGCAGAGAAAAGAGUGAAAAAGUUGGUUUUGCAGUUGAAAAACAUAACUUACCUGGCCGGGAACUGACGGGGAUUUUAUGAGAACUAAGCCACACCGGUUUUGAAUGAGCUGUUUUCAUCAACAGAGGGAGCGGGUCCUCUUCUGGUGGUGUCUGCCAUGUUGAACCGCCACAGACUUGAAAACCUCCUCCUCUCAGCAGUCCAAAGCGCCUGCAAGAACAGCUGCUGGAUGGCACCACCAAUCAUCUCAGAGUGAUGCCAGUCCAUUCCAGGUUUUAACCAAAAUCCCCCCACCUUAGAGAACUUUCAUUAGAUGCCAUGGGAAAUCAGUGAA
Molecule: long non-coding RNA, 364 nt
Organism: Dicentrarchus labrax (European seabass)
Lineage: Eukaryota; Metazoa; Chordata; Actinopteri; Moronidae
Exons: 3
Source: RefSeq, a predicted model, not a curated record